AAUCUUGCACAAUGGGCGAAAGCCUGAUGCAGCGACGCCGCGUGGGGGAUGAAGGCCUUCGGGUUGUAAACCCCUUUCAGUAGGGACGAAAAUGACGGUACCUACAGAAGAAGCUCCGGCCAACUACGUGCCAGCAGCCGCGGUAACACGUAGGGAGCAAGCGUUGUCCGGAUUUAUUGGGCGUAAAGAGCUCGUAGGUUGUUCAGUAAGUCGGAUGUGAAAACUCAAGGCUCAACCUUGGGACGCCAUCCGAUACUGCUGUGACUUGAGUUCGGUAGAGGAGUGUGGAAUUCCUGGUGUAGCGGUGAAAUGCGCAGAUAUCAGGAGGAACACCAACAGCGAAGGCAGCACCCUGGGCCGAUACUGACACUGAGGAGCGAAAGCAUGGGGAGCAAACAGGAUUAGAUACCCUGGUAGUCCAUGCCGUA
Molecule: ribosomal RNA, 428 nt
Filed under: uncultured marine bacterium
Lineage: Bacteria
Description: bacterial SSU rRNA
Rfam family: Bacterial small subunit ribosomal RNA
Source: RNAcentral